AUUGAACGCUGGCGGCAGGCCUAACACAUGCAAGUCGAGCGGAUGAAGGGAGCUUGCUCCUGGAUUCAGCGGCGGACGGGUGAGUAAUGCCUAGGAAUCUGCCUGGUAGUGGGGGAUAACGUCCGGAAACGGGCGCUAAUACCGCAUACGUCCUGAGGGAGAAAGUGGGGGAUCUUCGGACCUCACGCUAUCAGAUGAGCCUAGGUCGGAUUAGCUAGUUGGUGGGGUAAAGGCCUACCAAGGCGACGAUCCGUAACUGGUCUGAGAGGAUGAUCAGUCACACUGGAAAUGAGACACGGUCCAGACUCCUACGGGAGGCAGCAGUGGGGAAUAUUGGACAAUGGGCGAAAGCCUGAUCCAGCCAUGCCGCGUGUGUGAAGAAGGUCUUCGGAUUGUAAAGCACUUUAAGUUGGGAGGAAGGGCAGUAAGUUAAUACCUUGCUGUUUUGACGUUACCAACAGAAUAAGCACCGGCUAACUUCGU
RNAcentral lists this ribosomal RNA (483 nucleotides) under uncultured bacterium. Its description in RNAcentral is "partial 16S ribosomal RNA". It matches the Rfam family "Bacterial small subunit ribosomal RNA", at positions 30 to 506 of the family's 1533-position model. The record is from RNAcentral.